GACGAACGCUGGCGGCGUGCUUAACACAUGCAAGUCGAACGGAAAGGCCCUGCUCUUGUGGGGUGCUCGAGUGGCGAACGGGUGAGUAACACGUGAGUAACCUGCCCUUGACUUUGGGAUAACUUCAGGAAACUGGGGCUAAUACCGGAUAGGAGCUCCUGCUGCAUGGGGGGGGUUGGAAAGUUUCGGCGGUUGGGGAUGGACUCGCGGCUUAUCAGCUUGUUGGUGGGGUAGUGGCUUACCAAGGCUUUGACGGAUAGCCGGCCUGGGAGGGUGACCGGCCACAUUGGGACUGAGAUACGGCCCAGACUCCUACGGGAGGCAGCAGUGGAGAGUAUUGCACAAUGGGCGGAAGCCUGAUGCGGCAACGCCGCGUGCGGGAUGACGGCCUUCGGGUUGUAAACCGCUUUCGCCUGUGACGAAGCGUGAGUGACGGUAAUGGGUAAAAAAGCACCGGCUAACUACGUG
Molecule: ribosomal RNA, 468 nt
Filed under: uncultured bacterium
Lineage: Bacteria
Description: partial 16S ribosomal RNA
Rfam family: Bacterial small subunit ribosomal RNA
Source: RNAcentral